Molecule: ribosomal RNA, 327 nt
Filed under: uncultured eukaryote
Lineage: Eukaryota
Description: partial 18S ribosomal RNA
Rfam family: Eukaryotic small subunit ribosomal RNA
Source: RNAcentral
CCCUUAGAUGUUCUGGGCCGCACGCGCGCUACACUGAUGAAUGCAACGAGCUCUACCCUUGACCGAAAGGCCCGGGUAAACUUGUGAAACCUCAUCGUGAUGGGGAUAGAUUAUUGCAAUUAUUAAUCUUCAACGAGGAAUUCCUAGUAAGCGCGAGUCAUCAGCUCGCGUUGAUUACGUCCCUGCCCUUUGUACACACCGCCCGUCGCUCCUACCGAUUGAAUGGUCCGGUGAAAUCUUCGGAUUGCUGACCAAGAUCCAGCAAUGGAGCUUGGUUGCGAGAAGUUGAUUAAACCUUAUUAUUUAGAGGAAGGAGAAGUCGUAACA